Molecule: ribosomal RNA, 353 nt
Filed under: uncultured Anaerolineaceae bacterium
Lineage: Bacteria; Bacillati; Chloroflexota; Anaerolineae; Anaerolineales; Anaerolineaceae
Description: bacterial SSU rRNA
Rfam family: Bacterial small subunit ribosomal RNA
Source: RNAcentral
GACCCUUCGGGAGCCUAUACAGGUGUUGCAUGGCUGUCGUCAGCUCGUGUCGUGAGAUGUUCGGUUAAGUCCGCUAACGAGCGCAACCCUCGUCGUAUGUUAUAUGUGUCAUACGAGACUGCCGGUAAAAAGCCGGAGGAAGGUGAGGAUGAUGUCAAGUCAGCAUGACCUUUAUAUCCAGGGCUACACACACGCUACAAUGGUCUGUACAAUGGGUAGCCAAGCCGCGAGGCGGAGCCAAUCCUGAAAGCAGGCCUCAGUUCAGAUUGCAGUCUGCAACUCGACUGCACUGAAGCCGGAGUUGCUAGUAACCGCAGGUCAGCAAUACUGCGGUGAAUACGUUCCCGGGUCUU